GUCAACUGAAGCUUCUUCCCAGCUGACAGACCCUGAGCUAAUUGUCUUUAAUGAGCAGCUGGGCCCGGUUUCCUGGGAUUUGCAUUUGCAGAUAUUCGGGGCAGCAGCACCUCUGUGGAUGGCAGCCAGACUGGCCUUCCAGGGGGUGAUUAUUCCGGCAGCUGAGUAUCUUCCAGAUUUUCCAAUAGGCCAAAGAGAAAGUCUCCAACGAUGCUGUUAACAUCUUUUGAACACCCGUGGAUCGCGUGUGUGCUCUCCCAGUCUCUUUUGCUCUCUCUCUCACCUGGACAAAGCUGAUCUUGGACCCAGAACUUCUACAGACAAUGGGAAGAUCAUUCCCUCUCUGUCCAGUUCUUGGGAUGGCUGCAUCAAGUAUGGAGGUGCUGACGGUGGAGCCUUUCUGUAAUGAGCAUCCGCUAUGUUCCUGCUCUGUGGAAGAGCUCGAGCUUUGACCCUGGAUGCCAGACUUGGCCUACUUCUCACCCUGGCUGACAAGUGGAGCUACCCAGACCUACUCUAGAGAGCCUUUGGAUCUGGUUCUCAGGGGACCCCAGGGUCCAAGAUAGAGCAGGGCUGGACGCCCCCACGCCUCCAACAUAGCUGUUUUUUUCUGACUGGAGACAGAUCAGGGUCUGAGCACUUUUAUCUACCCUCACAAAGCUGCUGCUGCUGCUAAGUCACUUCAGUCGUGUCCGACUCUGUGCGACCCCAGAGAUGUGAGCCCACCAGGCUCCCCCGUCCCUGGGAUUCUCCAGGCAAGAACACUGGAGUGGGUUGCCAUUGCCUCACAAAACUAGAGCCCAUUUAUUCAUUUGUUCACACCCCUACCUGUGUGUGCCUCAUUCAUUCCUGGCCAUGCAAUGAAACAACUAGGAUUCUAAACACUGGAUCCAGGACCUGGGGGAUAAGACCUUUAAAUCCAGGCAUCCUCAGAAAUCCUCAGAUUUGUGUGUGUUUCUGGAGAAGGAGCUCAUGGCUGUUUUUCAGAUUCUCAACUGUGUUCAUCAUCCAAAGCAGGUUAAGAAACACUGGCUGGAGUGCAGGGACAGAAAGCUGACCCCCACCCCUACUCCAAACUCAGGGAAAGGCACUUGGAACAGCCACUCUGGAG
This is a long non-coding RNA of Bos taurus (domestic cattle), 1111 nucleotides long. Lineage: Eukaryota; Metazoa; Chordata; Mammalia; Artiodactyla; Bovidae. The record is from Ensembl.